GACGAACCGUGCGAACGUUAUUCGGAAUCAUUGGGCUUAAAGGGCGCGUAGGCGGCGGUGUAAGUUGGAAGUGAAAUCCCAUCGGCUCAACCGUGGAAUUGCUCCCAGUACUGCACUGCUCGAGGGGGAUAGGGGUCUGCGGAACUACCGGUGGAGCGGUGAAAUGUGUUGAUAUCGGUGGGAACGCCAGUGGCGAAAGCGGCAGACUUGACCCUUCCUGACGCUGCAGCGCGAAAGCUAGGGGAGCAAACGGG
Molecule: ribosomal RNA, 254 nt
Filed under: uncultured bacterium
Lineage: Bacteria
Description: partial 16S ribosomal RNA
Rfam family: Bacterial small subunit ribosomal RNA
Source: RNAcentral